RNAcentral lists this ribosomal RNA (265 nucleotides) under uncultured archaeon. RNAcentral describes it as "partial 16S ribosomal RNA". It matches the Rfam family "Archaeal small subunit ribosomal RNA", at positions 717 to 982 of the family's 1478-position model. The record is from RNAcentral.
ACACGACUACAUUAGAUACCCCCGUAGUCCCAGCUGUAAACUAUGUGCGUUAGGUGUGUCAGUGACCACGUGUCACUGAGGUGCCGAAGGGAAACCGUGAAACGCACCGCCUGGGGAGUACGGUCGCAAGGAUGAAACUUAAAGGAAUUGGCGGGGGAGCACCGCAACGGGAGGAGCGUGCGGUUCAAUUGGAUUCAACGCCGGACAACUCACCAGGAGCGACGGUUACAUGAAGGCCAGGCUGAUGACCUUGCCUGAUUUUCCG